GUGGAGCUGGGCAGGCAACCUGGUACUUGGAUUCACCUUUUGAAGGAUGGAGAGGAGCUCCCUUCUCCACAAGGAGUUGAAGGGUGGAGGAGUUAGAGCCAGGCCUGGCUGGGAGUUCUGGCGUCCAGGAUGCAGGAGGCUUCAGCAGAAGAGGCGUGGCCAACAGCCCCUGAAUUAGCAGAACCCCGCCCAUUUUGUGGGCACUGAAGACAGGCAGCGCGAUAGUGUCCUUGUUGGCCAGCAGAGGGCGCAAUAGGAGGCGGGCCGCACCCGAAGAUGGCUAUAGCGCUGUGCCCGAGCCAGCCUGGGCGCCCUCUGCCGGGCAGCCCCGACUCGGGGCUCCCACAGCGGGGUCUUCGGUCCCGUGUUUCUGCGCCAGGGUCCAGGCCCACUGGCCUGUACCCAGAAUCCUCCAGGGAACUGGGAUCCCGCCCUGGAGAAUCGGAUCCUGGGUCUAGGAUAGCCAGUUCUGGGGACCACCCCUCGCAUUCUUGGGUUCCCUCUCUGGCAUCUGACAGCUAGCUCUCCCUAGCUGGCCCCCCCGCCUACCAUCUCCAGCUUUUGCUUGAUUGCCUCCAAAGACGCGGACCUAGCCCCUCCAAGAGAUUCAACCUGUGUGAAUGUGGGUGUACCCACCCCUGUGCACACGGGUGUC
Molecule: long non-coding RNA, 655 nt
Filed under: Homo sapiens (human)
Lineage: Eukaryota; Metazoa; Chordata; Mammalia; Primates; Hominidae
Description: non-protein coding lnc-HNRNPA1-7:1
Source: RNAcentral